AAACUUUCAACAAUGGAUCUCUUGGCUCUCGCAUCGAUGAAGAACGCAGCGAAAUGCGAUAAGUAAUAUGAAUUGCAGAAUUCCGUGAAUCAUCAAAUUUUUGAACGCAAAUUGCACUUCUUAGUAUUCCGAGGAGUACACAUGCUUGAGGGUCAGUU
This 158-nucleotide ribosomal RNA is filed under the name Gigaspora margarita. RNAcentral describes it as "5.8S ribosomal RNA". It matches the Rfam family "5.8S ribosomal RNA". Rfam says of the family: 5.8S ribosomal RNA (5.8S rRNA) is a component of the large subunit of the eukaryotic ribosome. Lineage: Eukaryota; Fungi; Glomeromycota; Glomeromycetes; Diversisporales; Gigasporaceae. The record is from RNAcentral.